Molecule: unclassified non-coding RNA, 191 nt
Filed under: uncultured fungus
Lineage: Eukaryota; Fungi
Description: sequence contains ITS1
Source: RNAcentral
GUAUUUUCGAAUUAAGUUAAUUCGCGACACAUGUAUUCAGACAAACUACUUGAAGGUGAAGUUAAAAUAGAAUAAGAAAUCCUUCGAGAAGGACUUCGAAACGUUGCACACAAGGUGGAUAUGGAUUUUUUUAAAAAGUGCCAUACAACACUUGUUUGUGAAUGAUCCUUCCGCAGGUUCACCUACGGAAA